CCUACGGGAGGCAGCAGUAGGGAAUCUUCCACAAUGGGCGAAAGCCUGAUGCAGCGACGCCGCGUGGGUGAAGAAGGUCUUCGGAUCGUAAAGCCCUGUUGUUAGAGAAGAAAGUGCGUGAGAGUAACUGUUCACGGUUCGACGGUAUCUAACCAGAAAGCCACGGCUAACUACGUGCCAGCAGCCGCGGUAAUACGUAGGUGGCAAGCGUUAUCCGGGUUUAUUGGGCGUAAAGGGACCGCAGGCGGUCUGUUAAGUCUGAUGUGAAAGCCUUCGGCUUAACCGGAGUAGUGCAUUGGAAACUGGGAGACUUGAGUGCAGAAGAGGUGAGUGGAACUCCAGGUGUAGCGGUGAAAUGCGUAGAUAUAAGGAAGAACACCAGUGGCGAAAGCGGCUCUCUGGUCUGUAACUGACGCUGAGGUUCGAAAGCGUGGGGAGCAAACAGGAUUAGAUACCCGAGUAGUC
Molecule: ribosomal RNA, 465 nt
Filed under: uncultured bacterium
Lineage: Bacteria
Description: partial 16S ribosomal RNA
Rfam family: Bacterial small subunit ribosomal RNA
Source: RNAcentral